AGGGUUCGAUUCUGGCUCAGGAUGAACGCUGGCGGCGCGCUUAACACAUGCAAGUCGAACGGUUAAUGCACCCCUCGGGGUGCGCAUAAAGUGGCGAACGGCUGAGUAACACGUGGGCAACCUGCCCCCCGCACCGGGAUAGCCUCGGGAAACCGAGGGUAAUACCGGAUACUCCGCCCCCCUCGCAUGGGAGGGGCGGGAAAGCACAUACGGCGGGGGAUGGGCCCGCGGCCUGUUAGCUCGUUGGCGGGGUAACGGCCCACCAAGGCGAUUAUGGGUAGCCGGGUUGAGAGACCGACCGGCCAGAUUGGGACUGAGACACGGCCCAGACUCCUACGGGAGGCAGCAGUGGGGAAUCUUGCACAAUGGGCGAAAGCCUGAUGCAGCGACGCCGCGUGCGGGAAGAAGGCCCUCGGGUUGUAAACCGCUUUCAGCAGGGACGAGGCGCAAGUGACGGUACCUGCAGAAGAAGCCCCGGCUAACUACGUGCCAGCAGCAGC
RNAcentral lists this ribosomal RNA (500 nucleotides) under uncultured bacterium. Its description in RNAcentral is "bacterial SSU rRNA". It matches the Rfam family "Bacterial small subunit ribosomal RNA", at positions 8 to 518 of the family's 1533-position model. The record is from RNAcentral.